Myotis davidii is the source of this 514-nucleotide long non-coding RNA. RefSeq lists it as uncharacterized. The transcript has 3 exons. Lineage: Eukaryota; Metazoa; Chordata; Mammalia; Chiroptera; Vespertilionidae. The record is from RefSeq and is a predicted model, not a curated record.
GCCCGCGUGACGUCACUCCUGAGGCCCCACCUCUCCUGCACAGCGCCACCUGGCCCCCGUAGGUGCCCCAGUCGGGGGCAGAAGCCUGGGGAAUCAUCAGUCUGCCGUUUACAAAUGGGGAAACUGAGGCCUGGAGGCAGGGGAUAUAGCUGGGCUAUAAGCCCUCUUGCCUGAACCCCCAGAGCUGGUGGUGCUUGGUGCGAAGUGUAAAACGAACAAUACUCAAGGGUCCAGAUGACCAGGCUGUAAGUUCUUUGGGAACAAGUGUAGACUUCCUCGUAUUUCUGUGACUCACUAACUCAGCCAGGUCCAGAACAGCAUUUCAACACGCAGGUAGCAAGACUCCUGCACUAGAGAAACCCUUGCAAAUGUGCACAAGGAGCCUGACCAAGGUCUUGAUGGCAGCAGUGAUGUGAGGGCAAGAAACUGGAAAUAGCCUACAGGUCCACCAAGAGGAGGAUGGAGCCCUAACCGGUUUGGCUCAGUGGCUAGAGCAUCGGCCUGCGGACUGAAA